Molecule: transfer RNA, 53 nt
Filed under: Hemiselmis tepida
Lineage: Eukaryota; Cryptophyceae; Cryptomonadales; Hemiselmidaceae
Description: partial Selenocysteine transfer RNA
Source: RNAcentral
GAGGCGUGCGUGGUGUACGACGUGGUCUUCAACACCGAGGUGAUGGAGCAGGC